This 452-nucleotide long non-coding RNA is filed under the name Homo sapiens (human). Its description in RNAcentral is "non-protein coding lnc-VAT1-4:1". Lineage: Eukaryota; Metazoa; Chordata; Mammalia; Primates; Hominidae. The record is from RNAcentral.
AUUAGGUGAUUGUAGUUAUACACUUUCACAAAAGAUUUUAUCUUUGAUCUCUUGGCGAUCUUCUUCUUGCCCAUGGCAGCUGUCACUUUGCGGGGGUAGCGGUCAAUUCCAGCCACCAGAGCAUGGCUGUAGGGGCGAUCUGAGGUGCCAUCAUCAAUGUUCUAAAUGAGUAAGAAUUACAUUUGUUAUUCACUGAGGGCCUAUUUAGGCCCUGUGUUAGAGGUAGUGCAGUGUCCAAAAAAUAUUUCCACCCUCAGGUCUCCAAGAUCCACCAUUAUAAAGAGAAAAAUCACAGAAAGCUAUGAGAAAUGACCAAAGAGAAACAGAACAGUGUUUAUCUCCAUCAGGAAGCAUCUGGAACGGCUUACUAGAGAUUCCCAGCUGCAGCACUUCAGGUAAAUAACAGAACACCUCCAAACCUUAGCAACAGGAAGGAACCCCCUAUAGCUGGG